GCAGCGCCGUCUGAAUUGUGUCAGCAGUACGAGAAAGCUUUGUUAAACGUUAACAGCACUAACUGUGGCAUAAUCAUUUGCAUACAGAAGUCGUGAUGCUCUUCUCUCUUUGCUCUGUCCGUUCAUUCAUGUGAUUUAACAGCGACAAUUACAUCAAAAUAGAUUUACAAACCAGCAUUUGUAGACUAAAGUGACCACUAAAGGGCAAAGUAGCACAACAAAUCCACACACAUUACAGGAACUCGAGGACAAUAUCCAUGGGUCAGUUCAUUCACUUUCUCAAAGAGGAGAACAUUGUGUGACAAAUAAUUUCUUCAGUAGAUGUGAGGAAUGUGUGGAAAAAAUUGGCAGGUAGUUCCAGCACCUCAAUGCAUGACAUAGAUUAUAAUGGCCUUCAGAUGAGAUAGAUACCUCACUAACCAAGAAAUAGAAGAAAUAAUAAACAGUGACGCAUUCUAUAAAGUGGUGUCAGAUGAUCAGGACCAUACUGAUAUCACCAUAAGUCCUCCUGAAGUAGACUAUAUGACCAGCAAAGAAGAAGGUCCAGACGAUGUUACUGGAACUGGGAAGUCUCAGAUGUGCCAGGGGCUAUUGAAUAAUAUUAUGUUGCCUCAGAGAAUAACGAAGAAACUGUAUGUAAAACUUCACUGCCAAGUACAUCCCAAGUUUCCAGAAGUAAAUCGAAGAAUGGCCCUCGUAAAUGUCUGGCUCUUCUACGUGGGAAAAAUGCACUGGAUUUACUGGAUUUAAGACGUGCUGUUACAGUUACAUACCUGAAAUUGGACACUGGAAGACCAAAUGUUGGAUGUCCAAUGGAAUACCCACCAAGUCAGUUGAGAGUGAUACCAGUCAUCAGGUUUGAUGGAAUUAGUCAUUUGAUUGACAUAAGAAACAUGCAAAGAAGAUGUGUAAGAGCUAAGUGGAAUGGGAAACCAAAAACAUAUUGUAUAAUAAUGUACACUAUGUACAUUA
This is a long non-coding RNA of Schistocerca piceifrons (Central American locust), 972 nucleotides long. RefSeq lists it as uncharacterized. The record is from RefSeq and is a predicted model, not a curated record. The transcript is spliced from 3 exons. Lineage: Eukaryota; Metazoa; Arthropoda; Insecta; Orthoptera; Acrididae.